AGAGUUUGAUCCUGGCUCAGAUUGAACGCUGGCGGCAUGCUUUACGCAUGCAAGUCGAACGGCAGCACGGGCUUCGGCCUGGUGGCGAGUGGCGAACGGGUGAGUAAUGCAUCGGAACGUGCCCAUGUCGUGGGGGAUAACGUAGCGAAAGCUACGCUAAUACCGCAUACGCCCUGAGGGGGAAAGCGGGGGAUUCUUCGGAACCUCGUGCGAUUGGAGCGGCCGAUGUCGGAUUAGCUAGUUGGUGGGGUAAAGGCCCACCAAGGCGACGAUCCGUAGCGGGUCUGAGAGGAUGAUCCGCCACACUGGGACUGAGACACGGCCCAGACUCCUACGGGAGGCAGCAGUGGGGAAUUUUGGACAAUGGGGGCAACCCUGAUCCAGCCAUUCCGCGUGAGUGAAGAAGGCCUUCGGGUUGUAAAGCUCUUUCAGCUGGAACGAAACGGUGCGCUCUAACAUAGCGCGCUAAUGACGGUACCGGCAGAAGAAGCACCGGCUAACUACGUGCCAGCCGCCGCGUAAUUC
Molecule: ribosomal RNA, 525 nt
Filed under: uncultured Thauera sp.
Lineage: Bacteria; Pseudomonadati; Pseudomonadota; Betaproteobacteria; Rhodocyclales; Zoogloeaceae
Description: bacterial SSU rRNA
Rfam family: Bacterial small subunit ribosomal RNA
Source: RNAcentral